AGGAUGUUGGCUUAGAAGCAGCCAUCAUUUAAAGAAAGCGUAAUAGCUCACUGGUCGAGUCGGCCUGCGCGGAAGAUGUAACGGGGCUAAACCAUGCACCGAAGCUGCGGCAGCGACGCUUAUGCGUUGUUGGGUAGGGGAGCGUUCUGUAAGCCUGUGAAGGUGUACUGUGAGGUAUGCUGGAGGUAUCAGAAGUGCGAAUGCUGACAUAAGUAACGAUAAAGCGGGUGAAAAGCCCGCUCGCCGGAAGACCAAGGGUUCCUGUCCAACGUUAAUCGGGGCAGGGUGAGUCGACCCCUAAGGCGAGGCCGAAAGGCGUAGUCGAUGGGAAACAGGUUAAUAUUCCUGUACUUGGUGUUACUGCGAAGGGGGGACGGAGAAGGCUAUGUUGGCCGGGCGACGGUUGUCCCGGUUUAAGCGUGUAGGCUGGUUUUCCAGGCAAAUCCGGAAAAUCAAGGCUGAGGCGUGAUGACGAGGCACUACGGUGCUGAAGCAACAAAUGCCCUGCUUCCAGGAAAAGCCUCUAAGCAUCAGGUAACAUCAAAUCGUACCCCAAACCGACACAGGUGGUCAGGUAGAGAAUACCAAGGCGCUUGAGAGAACUCGGGUGAAGGAACUAGGCAAAAUGGUGCCGUAACUUCGGGAGAAGGCACGCUGAUAUGUAGGUGAAGUCCCUCGCGGAUGGAGCUGAAAUCAGUCGAAGAUACCAGCUGGCUGCAACUGUUUAUUAAAAACACAGCACUGUGCAAACACGAAAGUGGACGUAUACGGUGUGACGCCUGCCCGGUGCCGGAAGGUUAAUUGAUGGGGUCAGCGCAAGCGAAGCUCUUGAUCGAAGCCCCGGUAAACGGCGGCCGUAACUAUAACGGUCCUAAGGUAGCGAAAUUCCUUGUCGGGUAAGUUCCGACCUGCACGAAUGGCGUAAUGAUGGCCAGGCUGUCUCCACCCGAGACUCAGUGAAAUUGAACUCGCUGUGAAGAUGCAGUGUACCCGCGGCAAGACGGAAAGACCCCGUGAACCUUUACUAUAGCUUGACACUGAACAUUGAGCCUUGAUGUGUAGGAUAGGUGGGAGGCUUUGAAGUGUGGACGCCAGUCUGCAUGGAGCCGACCUUGAAAUACCACCCUUUAAUGUUUGAUGUUCUAACGUUGACCCGUGAUCCGGGUUGCGGACAGUGUCUGGUGGGUAGUUUGACUGGGGCGGUCUCCUCCUAAAGAGUAACGGAGGAGCACGAAGGUUGGCUAAUCCUGGUCGGACAUCAGGAGGU
This 1267-nucleotide ribosomal RNA is filed under the name Escherichia coli. Its description in RNAcentral is "partial 23S ribosomal RNA". It matches the Rfam family "Bacterial large subunit ribosomal RNA", at positions 1095 to 2346 of the family's 2925-position model. Lineage: Bacteria; Pseudomonadati; Pseudomonadota; Gammaproteobacteria; Enterobacterales; Enterobacteriaceae. The record is from RNAcentral.